GCGCGGCGUCACUGGCGUGGUGUGGUGUGUCUUUCAAUUUCGUUUGUACGAGUCACGUCUGCAGCGCUCCGAACCGGUCGUCCCGAGACGCGAACGCGGACGCGUGCUUGUGGGUCGAUGAACGAGUUUCUGCGGACAGGAUCAUUUAGCCACCAGAAGCGCCCGUUCACGAGCACGAGCCAUCGCCUCCAUCGACCAUAUUUUAGGGAAGGGAACGACCCGGACCACGACACCGCCACAAGCAUUAACACUUCCGUAAAUCAUAUGUCGGUAUUAACUAUUUGCAAUAAAAUAUAAUGUAUAUC
This is a long non-coding RNA of Leptidea sinapis, 305 nucleotides long. RefSeq lists it as uncharacterized. The record is from RefSeq and is a predicted model, not a curated record. Lineage: Eukaryota; Metazoa; Arthropoda; Insecta; Lepidoptera; Pieridae. The transcript has 2 exons.